CUUGAGAGAGGAAUCGGGUGUAAUAGCAUUUCUCAGCCUUAAAGGAGAAGACAGAUAAUGUCGGAAAAGAGAUUGGCAAUAAAAAGGUUUUCUGCAAUACAGGUGUUUAAAGUGGCAGAGACCAUUGUUGUCAUAUGUGACUUAUUCAUCAUAUAUUCAUCAUCUCUGGGGACUUCUUUAACAUCAGAAGACAAGCCAAGAACACUAAGAGGCAAAAUGCAGCAGAGAAAAAAUGAAUUUGCAAAGAAUGGCAGGAAGAAAACACUAAAUCAUAAAACUUUCCCAACACCUCACUGAAAGAAC
Gallus gallus (chicken) is the source of this 303-nucleotide long non-coding RNA. The record is from Ensembl. Lineage: Eukaryota; Metazoa; Chordata; Aves; Galliformes; Phasianidae.